UUCAAGGACCUUGGAUGCUCUAAAGGAUGAAAAGAUCUGGAGGAGGAAAAGGAGAGGAGAAGCUCUAGAGAAAAUAAAAUCAAUAAGAGAAAACCAAGAAGGGGCAUCCAAGAUUGGAGCCCCCUUUAAAUAGACAAGGGCUAGGGUUUUGAUCCAAGGGAGAGGGCGCUAAUUGAGUCCAAGCCAAACACCUUUUGGGCAUC
RNAcentral lists this long non-coding RNA (203 nucleotides) under Elaeis guineensis (African oil palm). RNAcentral describes it as "long non-coding RNA (EGUI_LNC077609)". Lineage: Eukaryota; Viridiplantae; Streptophyta; Magnoliopsida; Arecales; Arecaceae. The record is from RNAcentral.